Molecule: unclassified non-coding RNA, 387 nt
Filed under: fungal sp.
Lineage: Eukaryota; Fungi
Description: partial internal transcribed spacer region
Rfam family: Eukaryotic small subunit ribosomal RNA (bases 1-46)
Source: RNAcentral
AAGUCGUAACAAGGUUUCCGUAGGUGAACCUGCGGAAGGAUCAUUAAAACGUAUCCAACGUUAACUAAUUGUGAACUCGUUUCUCCCUUGGUAUAGAAAAAUUGGUAGCUGUGAUAGCCAUUGAUGGGAUCUUGGCAACAAGGUCUGUCUUUCACAGUCAUUGAUAUUCGCAAGAGUAUCGACAAGAGUAUCUAUGCUGAGGCUAAUCUUUCUGUCACCAUCCUCCAUUCAAAGAAGGGACAGGGAGAGCUAUAACCAUAAACCACUAAUCACCAAUCAUUUUGCUAGUUGACUUUUUUAAUGUUAGUUCUUUAUGAAAGUAGAGAAUUACACGUUUAUUUAUUUGAACGUAAAAUACAACUCUUAGCAAUGGAUAUCUAGGUUCUC